CCGAGUUGUAACACUCACAAACCCACUGCAAACGUACCCAUUUUGGCGACUCCGGCAGGCGGCCCCAGGGCGGGGCCUCUCAGCCUCUUCAGGCGCCUGCCGAAGGUGCCGCAAUUUUACUCUAUAAAUCAUGUAUUCUGAGUCCUAAGACAAAAUAUCA
RNAcentral lists this unclassified non-coding RNA (160 nucleotides) under uncultured Sordariomycetes. RNAcentral's name for it is "sequence contains ITS1". Lineage: Eukaryota; Fungi; Ascomycota; Sordariomycetes. The record is from RNAcentral.